GAGUUUGAUCCUGGCUCAGGAUGAACGCUAGCGGCAGGCUUAACACAUGCAAGUCGAGGGGUAGAGGAAGCUUGCUUCCUUGAGACCGGCGCACGGGUGCGUAACGCGUAUGCAAUCUACCUUGUACAGGGGGAUAGCCCAGAGAAAUUUGGAUUAAUACCCCAUAGUGUAGUUGAAUGGCAUCAUUUAACUACUAAAGUUCCAACGGUACAAGAUGAGCAUGCGUCCUAUUAGCUAGUUGGUGUGGUAACGGCAUACCAAGGCUACGAUAGGUAGGGGUCCUGAGAGGGAGAUCCCCCACACUGGUACUGAGACACGGACCAGACUCCUACGGGAGGCAGCAGUGAGGAAUAUUGGACAAUGGGCGCAAGCCUGAUCCAGCCAUGCCGCGUGCAGGAAGACGGUCCUA
RNAcentral lists this ribosomal RNA (409 nucleotides) under uncultured Flavobacterium sp. Its description in RNAcentral is "bacterial SSU rRNA". It matches the Rfam family "Bacterial small subunit ribosomal RNA", at positions 9 to 419 of the family's 1533-position model. The record is from RNAcentral. Lineage: Bacteria; Pseudomonadati; Bacteroidota; Flavobacteriia; Flavobacteriales; Flavobacteriaceae.